This 701-nucleotide ribosomal RNA is filed under the name Rhizobium sp. Its description in RNAcentral is "bacterial SSU rRNA". It matches the Rfam family "Bacterial small subunit ribosomal RNA", at positions 52 to 803 of the family's 1533-position model. The record is from RNAcentral. Lineage: Bacteria; Pseudomonadati; Pseudomonadota; Alphaproteobacteria; Hyphomicrobiales; Rhizobiaceae.
CACAUGCAGUCGACGCCCCGCAAGGGGAGUGGCAGACGGGUGAGUAACGCGUGGGAACAUACCUUUUCCUGCGGAAUAGCUCCGGGAAACUGGAAUUAAUACCGCAUACGCCCUACGGGGGAAAGAUUUAUCGGGGAAGGAUUGGCCCGCGUUGGAUUAGCUAGUUGGUGGGGUAAAGGCCUACCAAGGCGACGAUCCAUAGCUGGUCUGAGAGGAUGAUCAGCCACAUUGGGACUGAGACACGGCCCAAACUCCUACGGGAGGCAGCAGUGGGGAAUAUUGGACAAUGGGCGCAAGCCUGAUCCAGCCAUGCCGCGUGAGUGAUGAAGGCCUUAGGGUUGUAAAGCUCUUUCACCGGAGAAGAUAAUGACGGUAUCCGGAGAAGAAGCCCCGGCUAACUUCGUGCCAGCAGCCGCGGUAAUACGAAGGGGGCUAGCGUUGUUCGGAAUUACUGGGCGUAAAGCGCACGUAGGCGGAUAUUUAAGUCAGGGGUGAAAUCCCAGAGCUCAACUCUGGAACUGCCUUUGAUACUGGGUAUCUUGAGUAUGGAAGAGGUAAGUGGAAUUCCGAGUGUAGAGGUGAAAUUCAUAGAUAUUCGGAGGAACACCAGUGGCGAAGGCAGCUUACUGGUCCAUUACUGACGCUCAGGUGCGAAAGCGGGGGGAAGGAACAGGAUUAUAUUCCCUGGGAGGCCACGCCCG